UACGUAGGGCGCGAGCGUUGUCCGGAAUUAUUGGGCGUAAAGAGCUCGUAGGCGGCUUGUCACGUCGGGUGUGAAAGCCCGGGGCUUAACCCCGGGUCUGCAUUCGAUACGGGCUAGCUAGAGUGUGGUAGGGGAGAUCGGAAUUCCUGGUGUAGCGGUGAAAUGCGCAGAUAUCAGGAGGAACACCGGUGGCGAAGGCGGAUCUCUGGGCCAUUACUGACGCUGAGACGCGAAAGCGUGGGGAGCGAACGGG
Molecule: ribosomal RNA, 253 nt
Filed under: uncultured bacterium
Lineage: Bacteria
Description: partial 16S ribosomal RNA
Rfam family: Bacterial small subunit ribosomal RNA
Source: RNAcentral